UGCCAGCCGCCGCGGUAAGACAGAGGGUGCGAACGUUGCUCGGAAUCACUGGGCGUAAAGCGCGUGUAGGCGGACCAGCAAGUCAGGUGUGAGAUCCCUGGGCUCAACCUAGGAACUGCAUCUGAAACUGCUGGUCUUGAGUGUCGGAGAGGGAAGCGGAAUUCCAGGUGUAGAGGUGAAAUUCGUAGAUAUCAGGAGGAACACCGAUGGCGAAGGCAUCUCUCUGGGUCGAUAUUGACGCUGAGGCGCGAAAGCUAGGGGAGCGAACGGGAUUAGAUA
This 279-nucleotide ribosomal RNA is filed under the name uncultured bacterium. RNAcentral describes it as "partial 16S ribosomal RNA". It matches the Rfam family "Bacterial small subunit ribosomal RNA", at positions 506 to 784 of the family's 1533-position model. The record is from RNAcentral.